UCUGCCCUUCACUCUGGGACAAGCCCUGGAAACGGGGUCUAAUACCGGAUAUCACUUCCCCUCGCAUGGGGGGGGGUCGAAAGCUCCGGCGGUGAAGGAUGAGCCCGCGGCCUAUCAGCUUGUUGGUGAGGUAAUGGCUCACCAAGGCGACGACGGGUAGCCGGCCUGAGAGGGCGACCGGCCACACUGGGACUGAGACACGGCCCAGACUCCUACGGGAGGCAGCAGUGGGGAAUAUUGCACAAUGGGCGAAAGCCUGAUGCAGCGACGCCGCGUGAGGGAUGACGGCCUUCGGGUUGUAAACCUCUUUCAGCAGGGAAGAAGCGAAAGUGACGGUACCUGCAGAAGAAGCGCCGGCUAACUACGUGCCAGCAGCCGCGGUAAUACGUAGGGCGCAAGCGUUGUCCGGAAUUAUUGGGCGUAAAGAGCUCGUAGGCGGCUUGUCACGUCGGGUGUGAAAGCCCGGGGCUUAACCCCGGGUCUGCAUUCGAUACGGGCUAGCUAGAGUGUGGUAGGGGAGAUCGGAAUUCCUGGUGUAGCGGUGAAAUGCGCAGAUAUCAGGAGGAACACCGGUGGCGAAGGCGGAUCUCUGGGCCAUUACUGACGCUGAGGAGCGAAAGCGUGGGGAGCGAACAGGAUUAGAUACCCUGGUAGUCCACGCCGUAAACGGUGGGAACUAGGUGUGGGCGACAUUCCACGUCGUCGGUGCCGCAGCUAACGCAUUAAGUGCCCCGCCUGGGGAGUACGGCCGCAAGGCUAAAACUCAAAGGAAUUGACGGGGG
This 782-nucleotide ribosomal RNA is filed under the name Streptomyces pseudovenezuelae. Its description in RNAcentral is "bacterial SSU rRNA". It matches the Rfam family "Bacterial small subunit ribosomal RNA", at positions 125 to 919 of the family's 1533-position model. The record is from RNAcentral. Lineage: Bacteria; Bacillati; Actinomycetota; Actinomycetes; Kitasatosporales; Streptomycetaceae.